AUGAACGCUGGCGGCGUGCCUCAUACAUGCAAGUCGCGCGAACAGACGAGGAGCUUGCUCCUCUGACGUUAGCGGCGGACGGGGGAGUAACACGUGGAUAACCUACCUAUAAGACUGGGAUAACUUCGGGAAACCGGAGCUAAUACCGGAUAAUAUAUUGAACCGCAUGGUUCAAUAGUGAAAGACGGUUUUGCUGUCACUUAUAGAUGGAUCCGCGCCGCAUUAGCUAGUUGGUAAGGUAACGGCUUACCAAGGCAACGAUGCGUAGCCGACCUGAGAGGGUGAUCGGCCACACUGGAACUGAGACACGGUCCAGACUCCUACGGGAGGCAGCAGUAGGGAAUCUUCCGCAAUGGGCGAAAGCCUGACGGAGCAACGCCGCGUGAGUGAUGAAGGUCUUCGGAUCGUAAAACUCUGUUAUUAGGGAAGAACAAAUGUGUAAGUAACUAUGCACGUCUUGACGGUACCUAAUCAGAAAGCCACGGCUAACUACGUG
RNAcentral lists this ribosomal RNA (496 nucleotides) under uncultured bacterium. RNAcentral's name for it is "partial 16S ribosomal RNA". It matches the Rfam family "Bacterial small subunit ribosomal RNA", at positions 29 to 507 of the family's 1533-position model. The record is from RNAcentral.